RNAcentral lists this long non-coding RNA (206 nucleotides) under Carica papaya (papaya). RNAcentral's name for it is "long non-coding RNA (CPAP_LNC009607)". The record is from RNAcentral. Lineage: Eukaryota; Viridiplantae; Streptophyta; Magnoliopsida; Brassicales; Caricaceae.
AACUCACGAACAUGAACAUAUUUUGGUCGAGCAACACUUCCCAGCAAAUUGCACCAUCUGUAAACCAUGACAUCCCCCAUAGCUCCUCUCUGUCACGUGGAGCACCACAGUCAUGUCAAACCUAUUUUGGUCGGCCACAAAGUAAAUCAAUGAUCAUUUUUCUUUGUAUGUGAUCCAAUAGAUCACAUUAAUCCAAUCUCGUCUAU